GACGAACGCUGGCGGCGUGCUUAACACAUGCAAGUCGAGCGAUGAAGUUUCUUCGGAAAUGGAUUAGCGGCGAACGGGUGAGGAACACGUGAAGAAUCUGCCCUCCACUUUGGGAUAACACAGGGAAACCUGUGCUAAUACCGAAUAUUGAAACAUAAGUGGCAUCACUGAGUUCUGAAAGAAUUUCGGUGGAGGAUGACUUCGCGGCCUAUCAGCUAGUUGGUGAGGUAAUGGCUCACCAAGGCAACGACGGGUAGCCGGCCUGAGAGAGCGACCGGCCACACUGGGACUGAGACACGGCCCAGACUCCUACGGGAGGCAGCAGUGGGGAAUAUUGGGCAAUGGAGGAAACUCUGACCCAGCGACGCCGCGUGCGGGAUGAAGGCCUUCGGGUUGUAAACCGCUUUCAGUAGGGAAGAAGCGAAAGUGACGGUACCUACAAAAGAAGCACCGGCUAACUAUGUGCCAGCCGCCGCGGUAA
This 481-nucleotide ribosomal RNA is filed under the name uncultured bacterium. RNAcentral describes it as "partial 16S ribosomal RNA". It matches the Rfam family "Bacterial small subunit ribosomal RNA", at positions 28 to 523 of the family's 1533-position model. The record is from RNAcentral.